UUCUGGGAGCACUGUAGUAGAGAGUUCGAUCAUGGCUCAGAUUGAAACGCUGGUGGAGCUGCUUUACAGAUGCAAGCCGAAAACGCAGCACGGACUUCGGCCUGGUGGCGAGGGCGAACGGGUGAGUAAUGUAUCGGAACGUGCCUAGUAGCGGGGAUAAUCACGCGAAAGCGUUUAAUAAUGUGCGCGUCAUUCUUCGGGGAAAGCGGGGGACCUUUCGGGCCUCGUACCAUUAGAGCGGCCGAUAUCGUGGAUUAGCUGAAGGUGGGGUAACGGCUCACUAAGGCGACGAUCCGCAGCUGGUUUGAGAGGACGACCAGCCAUUAAUUGGACCGAGACACGGCCCAGACUCCACGGGAGGCAGUGAAUUCCUGGACAAUGGGGAAACCCCGAUCCAGCCAUCUCGCGUGUGCGAUGGGUUGGGCCUUCGGGUUGUAAAAGCAUUGGGCAGGAAAGAAACGGCACGGAGCACACUUCAACCGGACGGUACCUGCAGAAUAAGCACCGGUUAACCACGCCAGCAGCCGCGGUAAUACGUAGGGUGCGUUAAUCGGAAUUACUGGGGCGGCGUGCAGGCGGUUCGGAAGAGAUGAAAUCCGGAGCUAACUUUGGAACUGUAUUAACUACCGAGCUAGAGUGUGUCAGAGGAGGGUGGAAUUUUGUGUAAAGAAAGAAAUGCAGAUAUGCGGAGGAACACUGAUGGCGAAGGCAGCUUCCUGGGAUAACACUGACGCCCGGCGCACGCAGGCGUAGAUAAACAGGAUUAGAUACCUUCUGGUAGUCCACGCCUAAACGAUGUCAACUAGCUGUUGGGGCCUUCGGGCCUGGUAGCGCAGCGCCAACGCAUGGUUGACCGCCUGGGGAGUACGGGUCGCAGAUGAAACUCAAAGGAAUUGACGGGACCCGCACAAGCGGUGGACGAUGUGGAUUAAUUCGACAACGCGAAAACUUUACCUACUCCGGACAUGUCUGGAAUCCCGAAGAGAGAUUUGGGAGUGCCGCAAGAGAACCGAAAUACAGGUGCUGCAUGGCUGUCGUCAGCUCGUGUCGUGAGAUGUUGGGUUAAGUCCUGCAACGAGCGCAAACCUUGGUCAGCGAAGUUGUUGAUGAAAGGGCAACGCAAUUUCAUUGACUGCUGCGUGACAAACCGAGGAAGGUGGGGAUGACGCCGAGUCCCCGCGUCUGGUGGUGGUCUUCGCAUCGUCAUAUGUGUUACGACAGAGGGUCGCCAACUUUAUGAGAGCCAAUCCCAGAAACCCGAUCGUAGUCCGGAUCGCAGUCUGGCAACUGACUGCGUGGAAGUCGGAACGUUGGGGUAAUCGCGGAUCAGCAUGUCGUUCCGGUCUUACACACCGCCCGUCACACCAUGGGAGGUGGGAAGGUGACCAGAAGGUAGCAACAACCGGGUAAGGAUAAGCGAUUACUACGGUAGGGAUUCAUGACUGGGGUAAGCUGCAAUAGCGC
RNAcentral lists this ribosomal RNA (1464 nucleotides) under uncultured Bordetella sp. Its description in RNAcentral is "partial 16S-23S ribosomal RNA intergenic spacer". It matches the Rfam family "Bacterial small subunit ribosomal RNA". The record is from RNAcentral. Lineage: Bacteria; Pseudomonadati; Pseudomonadota; Betaproteobacteria; Burkholderiales; Alcaligenaceae.